Molecule: ribosomal RNA, 497 nt
Filed under: uncultured bacterium
Lineage: Bacteria
Description: partial 16S ribosomal RNA
Rfam family: Bacterial small subunit ribosomal RNA
Source: RNAcentral
GACGAACGCUGGCGGCGUGCCUAAUACAUGCAAGUUGAGCGCUGAAGGUUGGUACUUGUACCAACUGGAUGAGCAGCGAACGGGUGAGUAACGCGUGGGGAAUCUGCCUUUGAGCGGGGGACAACAUUUGGAAACGAAUGCUAAUACCGCAUAAAAACUUUAAACACAAGUUUUAAGUUUGAAAGAUGCAAUUGCAUCACUCAAAGAUGAUCCCGCGUUGUAUUAGCUAGUUGGUGAGGUAAAGGCUCACCAAGGCGAUGAUACAUAGCCGACCUGAGAGGGUGAUCGGCCACAUUGGGACUGAGACACGGCCCAAACUCCUACGGGAGGCAGCAGUAGGGAAUCUUCGGCAAUGGACGAAAGUCUGACCGAGCAACGCCGCGUGAGUGAAAAAGGUUUUCGGAUCGUAAAACUCUGUUGGUAGAGAAGAACGUUGGUGAGAGUGGAAAGCUCAUCAAGUGACGGUAACUACCCAGAAAGGGACGGCUAACUACGUG